UGGUCUCUGGUCAUAUGGGUCCUUGUAGUGUAGAUUGGCUGCAGUAGGUUCACUGUAGGAGUAGGGUAUGCACCUACAUGGAAUCUAUCGACCUUGAUAGAUGAGGAGAGAUCCUAUGUGAUUUAUAAGACUGAGUUCUAAGACCUUGGCCAGGGCAAUAUAUAUAGUGGAGAAAGAGUUUUCCACUCUCGAACUCAAGUCGAAUAAAUCUAGACAUAUGACAGACG
This 227-nucleotide long non-coding RNA is filed under the name Phoenix dactylifera (date palm). RNAcentral describes it as "long non-coding RNA (PDAC_LNC009441)". Lineage: Eukaryota; Viridiplantae; Streptophyta; Magnoliopsida; Arecales; Arecaceae. The record is from RNAcentral.